CCAACGGCUCUUUUAAGAGCCACCCAAAUUCUCUCGAAAAGGGCUG
This is a non-coding RNA of Chaetura pelagica (chimney swift), 46 nucleotides long. NCBI's taxonomy places the organism in Eukaryota, Metazoa, Chordata, Aves, Apodiformes, Apodidae. The record is from Rfam.